Molecule: small RNA, 150 nt
Filed under: Sporomusa malonica
Lineage: Bacteria; Bacillati; Bacillota; Negativicutes; Selenomonadales; Sporomusaceae
Description: c-di-AMP sequence
Rfam family: c-di-AMP riboswitch aptamer (ydaO/yuaA leader)
About the family: This family represents a conserved RNA structure found upstream of the ydaO and yuaA genes in Bacillus subtilis and related genes in other bacteria.
Source: Rfam by way of RNAcentral
CUACUUAUAAUGCCGAAUCCUUAUAAGGUACGGGGGAACCAAUAAAAAUACAGGGGUGAAUCCGCAAAAAUAUGCGGUAGGGCGUUCUCAUGUUCCUUCUCUUUUGCCCGAAUCCGACAGCUAACCCCGGAGGCUAAAGCUAAUGAGGUU